UGAAGAUUCGGUUAUGGUAGGCGACUGC
Molecule: small RNA, 28 nt
Filed under: Bombyx mori (domestic silkworm)
Lineage: Eukaryota; Metazoa; Arthropoda; Insecta; Lepidoptera; Bombycidae
Description: piRNA piR-bmo-2105298
Source: RNAcentral